GAUGAACGCUAGCGGCAGGCUUAACACAUGCAAGUCGAGGGGUAACAUAGAAAAGCUUGCUUUUCUGAUGACGACCGGCGCACGGGUGCGUAACGCGUAUACAACCUACCUUUUAGCGGGGAAUAGCCCAGGGAAACUUGGAUUAAUGCCCCAUAGUAUAUAGACUUCUCCUGAAGUUUAUAUUAAACAUUUAUGGCUAUUAGAUGGGUAUGCGUCCUAUUAGUUAGUUGGUAAGGUAACGGCUUACCAAGGCAGCGAUAGGUAGGGGUCCUGAGAGGGAGAUCCCCACACUGGUACUGAGACACGGACCAGACUCCUACGGGAGGCAGCAGUGAGGAAUAUUGGACAAUGGGCGAGAGCCUGAUCCAGCCAUGCCGCGUGCAGGAAGACUGCCCUAUGGGUUGUAAACUGCUUUUACAGAGGAAGAACCACCCUCACGUGUGGGGGUUUGACGGUACUCUGCGAAUAAGGAUCGGCUAACUCCGUG
RNAcentral lists this ribosomal RNA (487 nucleotides) under uncultured bacterium. Its description in RNAcentral is "bacterial SSU rRNA". It matches the Rfam family "Bacterial small subunit ribosomal RNA", at positions 28 to 507 of the family's 1533-position model. The record is from RNAcentral.